UUCCAGUCCAAUAGCGUAUAUUAAAGUUGUUGCAGUUAAAAAGCUCGUAGUUGAAUUUCGGGGUUAGUAGGCUGGUCAUGCCUCCGGUAUGUACUGGUCUCACUGAUUCCUCCUUCCUGAUGAACCGUAAUGCCAUUAAUUUGGUGUUGCGGGGAAUCUGGACUGUUACUUUGAAAAAAUUAGAGUGUUUAAAGCAGGCUAACGCUUGAAUACAUUAGCAUGGAAUAAUGAAAUAGGACGUUUGAUCCUAUUUUGUUGGUCUCUAGGAUUGACGUAAUGAUUAAUAGGGAUAGUUGGGGGCAUUAGUAUUCAAUUGUCAGAGGUGAAAUUCUUGGAUUUAUUGAAGACUAACUACUGCGAAAGCAUUUGCCAAGGAUGUUUUCAUUAAUCAAGAACGAAAGUUAGGGGAUCGAAGACGAUCAGAUACCGUCGUAGUCUUAACCAUAAACUAUGCCGACUAGGGAUCGG
Molecule: ribosomal RNA, 468 nt
Filed under: uncultured Glomus
Lineage: Eukaryota; Fungi; Glomeromycota; Glomeromycetes; Glomerales; Glomeraceae
Description: SSU rRNA
Rfam family: Eukaryotic small subunit ribosomal RNA
Source: RNAcentral